CUGAUUCAGGCGAAUUGUUCACUGCGGCGCACCGAGUACGGCGGAAAAUCGAAGCGGUCCGGGGAAAACUCCUUGGGAAAAGUCGCGCGCGCGUUUCGCGUUCCUUAUCAUCAUCAUCGUACGAAACACGGCCAGUGAAAGUGAAAAGUUAUUGCGAGAGUGAAAGCAAAACUCGGGGAAAGCAGCUAAAAAUAAAAAGCGUAACAAACACACAGAUAAAUCACAAGUUGCGAAUAAACAAAAGCCAGGGGAAUCGCCCAAUAAAAAAAGGAAUCGCGCGGCUCAAACAAAUUUGUGAUAUGCGUUUGAACAUAUUCGUUGUGAAAGUGAAUUAAAUACGCCAGGCAACGCGUUUCAAUUAAGCGAAAACCGAAUAC
Drosophila takahashii is the source of this 377-nucleotide non-coding RNA. The record is from RefSeq and is a predicted model, not a curated record. NCBI's taxonomy places the organism in Eukaryota, Metazoa, Arthropoda, Insecta, Diptera, Drosophilidae.